AUGGCUUCCUCUGCCGGCGUCGCCCUUAACCUCGGUUCGCCGCCAUCUGAGAGGCUCGCAAGAGGAAACUUCAUCCUCUGGAAGACUCAGGUGCUUCUAGCCCUGCGAGGUGCGCAGGUGACUGGACUCCUCGACAACACAAACGCCGCUCUGCCCAGGAUGGUGGAGGUCACGAAGGCGGACAAAACCACGACCCUAGAGCCGAACCCUAUGUAUGGGCCUUGGAUCGCCAAAGACCAGCAGGUCCUGUCUUAUCUUCUGAAUUCCAUGUCGCCGGAGAUCCUUGCGCAGGUCGUCGGGAAGGACUCCACUUUUGAACUCUGGACGACGGUGACAAACCUCUUCGCCUCGCAGUCGUAA
This 360-nucleotide ribosomal RNA is filed under the name Triticum aestivum (bread wheat). Its description in RNAcentral is "partial small subunit ribosomal RNA". Lineage: Eukaryota; Viridiplantae; Streptophyta; Magnoliopsida; Poales; Poaceae. The record is from RNAcentral.